This is a non-coding RNA of Camellia sinensis, 450 nucleotides long. Lineage: Eukaryota; Viridiplantae; Streptophyta; Magnoliopsida; Ericales; Theaceae. The record is from RefSeq and is a predicted model, not a curated record.
GUGUAGUGGAGGUGAUAGUGGGUUAGGUGAAGUGGAGUGUGUGGUGAAGUGGAGGUAGGUGAAGUGGAGUGUGUAGUGGAGUAGGUGAAGGUAAAGAUGGGAAAUUCUAACAUAAACAAUGUUUCAUGAACUCUUCACUCUUCACUUUUCAAUUCCGCAAGUGUACCUAUGUGGGAUAUGAGUUCGAGCUCAAUGUUCAAAUUAUCUAUGACCCAUCUUUUUUGUUAGACAUUCAAAGAGCCUAAUGUUGCCAAGGAGCAUGCUGAAGCAAUGGAACCAAAGGAGAAAAUUCAGUCAGAUUUAACACAAUGGUCCAAAUUCAAAGAGCCUAAUGUUGCCAACAAGAAUACCAAAGCAGGGAAACUGAACGAGAAAAUUCCUGCAGCUGCAACAGAACAGGUUACCUGUUGUUAGAGGCAAAUCUUUUAUUCAAACUGAAAAGAAAACAGU